AGAGUUUGAUCAUGGCUCAGAAUGAACGCUGGCGGCAUGCCUAACACAUGCAAGUCGAACGAAGGCUUCGGCCUUAGUGGCGCACGGGUGCGUAACGCGUGGGAAUCUGCCCUUGGGUUCGGAAUAACAGCUAGAAAUGGCUGCUAAUACCGGAUGAUGACGUAAGUCCAAAGAUUUAUCGCCCAAGGAUGAGCCCGCGUAGGAUUAGCUAGUUGGUGAGGUAAAGGCUCACCAAGGCGACGAUCCUUAGCUGGUCUGAGAGGAUGAUCAGCCACACUGGGACUGAGACACGGCCCAGACUCCUACGGGAGGCAGCAGUGGGGAAUAUUGGACAAUGGGCGAAAGCCUGAUCCAGCAAUGCCGCGUGAGUGAUGAAGGCCUUAGGGUUGUAAAGCUCUUUUACCCGGGAUGAUAAUGACAGUACCGGGAGAAUAAGCCCCGGCUAACUCCGUGCCAGCAGCCGCGGUAAUACGGAGGGGGCUAGCGUUAUUCGGAAUUACUGGGCGUAAAGCGCACGUAGGCGGCUUUGUAAGUUAGAGGUGAAAGCCUGGAGCUCAACUCCAGAAUUGCCUUUAAGACUGCAUCGCUUGAAUCCAGGAGAGGUGAGUGGAAUUCCGAGUGUAGAGGUGAAAUUCGUAGAUAUUCGGAAGAACACCAGUGGCGAAGGCGGCUCACUGGACUGGUAUUGACGCUGAGGUGCGAAAGCGUGGGGAGAAACAGGAUUAGAUACCCCCGUAGUCC
This 741-nucleotide ribosomal RNA is filed under the name uncultured bacterium. RNAcentral's name for it is "bacterial SSU rRNA". It matches the Rfam family "Bacterial small subunit ribosomal RNA", at positions 8 to 796 of the family's 1533-position model. The record is from RNAcentral.